This 1434-nucleotide long non-coding RNA is filed under the name Anas platyrhynchos platyrhynchos (common mallard). Its description in RNAcentral is "lncRNA (ENSAPLG00000021113.1)". Lineage: Eukaryota; Metazoa; Chordata; Aves; Anseriformes; Anatidae. The record is from RNAcentral.
CCGUGAGCCAGCAUCAGUGGCUCUUCCACGUCUCUUUAUCCCCUACCAGAGAAGUUUCUUUCUGAAUUCAUCACUUCAGAACCCUUCCAGCUUUAGUUUAUUAUCUGUACGUCUUGGAACUUCAGUCCCCGAAGCAGAAGUGCUUCGCUGGGGGAAUAUUUAUGAAGUUCCUGGUAGUAACAGAUACCUUAUUGAUCCGUACAGCGACCCAGGUGGUACUGCUUAAAAAUUAAUAGCCUGCUGCUCGGGCUUGUACCUGCAGAAAGCCCUGGGUGCAUCCAAAGAGCGCGUGCAGGAGGGAAAAGGGACUGAAGGUCUGGAAAAAGGGGAAAAACUGCUGGAAACCCUUGUGCAGAUGUGGUUUACCUGGGAAAACCUGAGCGUUGUUGUCGUCUUUAACUUUCACCUUGCUUUCAGCAGAGGUGCAGAAGGCCCAGUAUUUAUUGGGGCAGAAAGUCUUUAAAAGUAGCUGCUAAAAGCCCUAAAAUCUUCAGGAAAUGGCACCAGUGGAAACCGUGGACAGGUAGAAAGCCAAACCCAAAGAGCAUUGCCUGGUGCUGAGCAGCAGGAGGAGGCUUUGGGGCUGCCGUGUGUACCAGCAGGGCAUCCCCACGUAACCCUGCGUGCCUGUUGCAUCACCCUCCUGAUAUUUUGGGGGAAAGCAACUCCCUAGCCGCUUGCUGUCAGGCAGCAGCGUCGAGAAAUAAAAGGAGCUGCUUGCUCCAAAAGCUGCUAACCCGUGCGGCACGGGCAGAGAGCCCUGGGGUGAAGGUGUCCACAGCUUCACCGCACGUUUUAUUUUGGGCUGCUGCUUUGCAGCUUCCUGGGAUGUUGCGUGGUGCUGGAGGCAGCCCUGCCCCGGUCGUUUCCUCGGAUGGCCUCGGGUUUUAGAGGUCUGUUGUAUCCAUUAGCUGCUAAAAUCCUUUCCAGAUGGAAAGUCUUCCCAUAUUAUUAUUUUUUUUAUGGCAACUGCUCCUUAAUCACCCUUGGUUGGGCUUCUCUGUGCCUCUUCUAAUUCUGCUCUGUGUCCUCUCUGAGGUGAGGAGGAGGAAGAAUGACCAGGAGGUGAUGCUGCUGUUGUCGCACCUUUCUUCCAGGUGGACAGGGUGCCCCCGAAGCCCUGCUGUACCCCGGGAUGGCAGCGAGGUGACGGCCGCUGAGGAUGACCCUGACUGAAAAGCUGCGCGAGAGGAUAUCGCGGGCCUUCUACAGCCACGGGCUGCUCUGCGCCUCCUACCCCAUCCCCAUCAUCCUCUUCACGGGGCUCUGUAUUUUGGCCUGCUGGUAAGUCACCAAAUUCUGCCUGUCCUGGGCAGCGGGGCUCCGGGGGCUGCUCUGGGGGCUCUCACAGCAGUGCUCGGGUUCCCCUGGGCUUGUGGGGUAUUCCAGAAAUCGUUUUUCCUUUAUUUUUUUUCCUUAAAUGUAGAUUUUUGU